Molecule: long non-coding RNA, 557 nt
Organism: Dipodomys ordii (Ord's kangaroo rat)
Lineage: Eukaryota; Metazoa; Chordata; Mammalia; Rodentia; Heteromyidae
Exons: 3
Source: RefSeq, a predicted model, not a curated record
GACUGCCUUCCUAGACAAAGGGAAUUUAACAGUAAAAUUGUCCUGUUUAGUGGAGAAAGAAAAAAUUAGGGCUACCAAAAUGAUUGUUUAACUGCUAUUCCAGUUUGCUUUUCAGGUUCGUUGUAACAAUUGCAUGCAGGCCCACCGAAGCCAGAUGAUUUUUACAAGUUUGUCAGAUGUAACUUUGGUCCUUAAUAACUUCCAGUCUAUAUAGAAAUUGGCCAGUAACCCAGUAGGAGGUGUGACAAUCCAUCUAAGCUGCUGGGAAACACUACCACAGUCCAGUUCAGAUCCAGCCCAUCUCUUCAACCUGGAGGUCUGUUUGGAGAAAGUUCAAAGACAGUCAUCUGGAGGAGACCAUAUCAUCUUGUGUUUCCUACGAGGCAGCUUCCUACAAUGGCUAUUGCUGUCUGCAUUCAUCUGACCACAGCUGAAGAAUAAUCUUUGAGCUUCUGUAAACUGCCAUAUACAUUUGGCUCUGAUUUAUAUAAUGCUGCCCUACUGGAAGUUGGGGCUGCUCUUGGUCCCAGGACAAGGCAGUCAGGACCAGCCAAAUA